This 422-nucleotide ribosomal RNA is filed under the name uncultured bacterium. RNAcentral's name for it is "partial 16S ribosomal RNA". It matches the Rfam family "Bacterial small subunit ribosomal RNA", at positions 360 to 774 of the family's 1533-position model. The record is from RNAcentral.
AAUCUUGCACAAUGGACGAAAGGCUGAUGGAGCAACGCCGCGUGAGCGAAGAAGGUUUNCGGAUCNGNAAGCUCUGUUGCGAGGGNCGAACAAGUACGGGAGUAACUGCCCGUACCUUGACGGUACCUCGUCAGAAAGCCACGGCCAACUACGUGCCAGCAGCGGCGGUAAUACGUAGGUGGCAAGCGUUGUCCGGAAUUAUUGGGCGUAAAGCGCGCGACGUCGGUCCUUUAAGUCUGAUGUGAAAGCCCACGGCUCAACCGUGGAGGGUCAUUGGAAACUGGAGGACUUGAGUACAGAAGAGGAAAGCGGAAUUCCACGUGUAGCGGUGAAAUGCGUAGAGAUGUGGGGGAACACCAGUGGCGAAGGCGGCUUUCUGGUCUGUAACUGACGCUGAGGCGCGAAAGCGUGGGGAGCAAACA